AGAGUUUGAUCCUGGCUCAGGACGAACGCUGGCGGCGUGCCUAAUACAUGCAAGUCGAACGAACUCUGGUAUUGAUUGGUGCUUGCAUCAUGAUUUACAUUUGAGUGAGUGGCGAACUGGUGAGUAACACGUGGGAAACCUGCCCAGAAGCGGGGGAUAACACCUGGAAACAGAUGCUAAUACCGCAUAACAACUUGGACCGCAUGGUCCGAGCUUGAAAGAUGGCUUCGGCUAUCACUUUUGGAUGGUCCCGCGGCGUAUUAGCUAGAUGGUGGGGUAACGGCUCACCAUGGCAAUGAUACGUAGCCGACCUGAGAGGGUAAUCGGCCACAUUGGGACUGAGACACGGCCCAAACUCCUACGGGAGGCAGCAGUAGGGAAUCUUCCACAAUGGACGAAAGUCUGAUGGAGCAACGCCGCGUGAGUGAAGAAGGGUUUCGGCUCGUAAAACUCUGUUUGUAAAGAAGAACAUAUCUGAGAGUAACUGUUCAGGUAUUGACGGUAUUUAACCAGAAAGCCACGGCUAACUACGUGCCAGCAGCCGCGGUAAUACGUAGGUGGCAAGCGUUGUCCGGAUUUAUUGGGCGUAAAGCGAGCGCAGGCGGUUUUUUAAGUCUGAUGUGAAAGCCUUCGGCUCAACCGAAGAAGUGCAUCGGAAACUGGGAAACUUGAGUGCAGAAGAGGACAGUGGAACUCCAUGUGUAGCGGUGAAAUGCGUAGAUAUAUGGAAGAACACCAGUGGCGAAGGCGGCUGUCUGGUCUGUAACUGACGCUGAGGCUCGAAAGUAUGGGUAGCAAACAGGAUUAGAUACCCUGGUAGUCCAUACCGUAAACGAUGAAUGCUAAGUGUUGGAGGGUUUCCGCCCUUCAGUGCUGCAGCUAACGCAUUAAGCAUUCCGCCUGGGGAGUACGGCCGCAAGGCUGAAACUCAAAGGAAUUGACGGGGGCCCGCACAAGCGGUGGAGCAUGUGGUUUAAUUCGAAGCUACGCGAAGAACCUUACCAGGUCUUGACAUACUAUGCAAAUCUAAGAGAUUAGACGUUCCCUUCGGGGACAUGGAUACAGGUGGUGCAUGGUUGUCGUCAGCUCGUGUCGUGAGAUGUUGGGUUAAGUCCCGCAACGAGCGCAACCCUUAUUAUCAGUUGCCAGCAUUAAGUUGGGCACUCUGGUGAGACUGCCGGUGACAAACCGGAGGAAGGUGGGGAUGACGUCAAAUCAUCAUGCCCCUUAUGACCUGGGCUACACACGUGCUACAAUGGAUGGUACAACGAGUUGCGAACUCGCGAGAGUAAGCUAAUCUCUUAAAGCCAUUCUCAGUUCGGAUUGUAGGCUGCAACUCGCCUACAUGAAGUCGGAAUCGCUAGUAAUCGCGGAUCAGCAUGCCGCGGUGAAUACGUUCCCGGGCCUUGUACACACCGCCCGUCACACCAUGAGAGUUUGUAACACCCAAAGUCGUAACAAGGUAGCCGUA
RNAcentral lists this ribosomal RNA (1471 nucleotides) under Lactiplantibacillus plantarum. RNAcentral's name for it is "Lactobacillus plantarum partial 16S ribosomal RNA". It matches the Rfam family "Bacterial small subunit ribosomal RNA". Lineage: Bacteria; Bacillati; Bacillota; Bacilli; Lactobacillales; Lactobacillaceae. The record is from RNAcentral.